Molecule: long non-coding RNA, 683 nt
Filed under: Helianthus annuus (common sunflower)
Lineage: Eukaryota; Viridiplantae; Streptophyta; Magnoliopsida; Asterales; Asteraceae
Description: sRNA HanXRQr2_Chr11g0479581
Source: RNAcentral
UUUCUUUUCUUCUUCUCUUUAUACGUUGGUGUUCUAACCAAUAAUCACCAAUAUGAUAUUCUGUCCGAUCGAUCCAGGAACCAACUAACGAAUGCCAAAGUGCUGUCUAAAUAAGACUAUACUUUGUUGAAUUUCGUUAAAGUUCUGAUCUCUUGACCAUCGUUAGCUUUGAUAUGGUUUUACACUAAUACGUAUUCCACUCUGUUAAACUAUAUGUUUAACCAUCAGAAAACUCCAAACUAUACACUUACAAUCAAACAAGAUGUUUAAUCAUCAGAAGAUUCAGACCUCUAAAGUAGAUGCUUAGUUAUCAGAAGACUUAGAAUCAAGAGGCUUGAAGACUAUAUGCUCAUAAGGUGAGACCAACCGAACCGAGGAUGAACUUUCUUCACAUUUCAGGGUUAUCCGUGGGAAAAGUGCGAGAUUUGAUUUGCUUUUCAACAAUGUGGAAAAUGUCGACGGGGAGCUAACGUAAAAUGACGUGAUUCAAGUGGCCCUCAUCGACUACAAACAUAUGUACGUCCAUGACUUUAAACACGUUUCGGCCUAGCAAAUUAUAAGAAUGUUUGUUUAAUUAUGUUUAAUAAUGUAUUUUCAGUUUUUUUAUGUCUUUGCUUAAUUAUGUUUAGGUUUAAUAUUUAAUUUGAAUUAUGUAAUGUUUAACUUUUAUGUUGAAUUGUUUA